Molecule: non-coding RNA, 114 nt
Organism: Acanthosepion pharaonis
Lineage: Eukaryota; Metazoa; Mollusca; Cephalopoda; Sepiida; Sepiidae
Source: the annotation of a GenBank genome assembly
UUACGGCUAUAUCAUGUUUAAACAUUGGUUCCUGUAUGAUCAUCGAAGUUAAGCAACGUCAAGCCUGAUCAAUACCUAGAUGAGUGACGACUUGGGAAUACCAGGUACUGUAAG